This is a long non-coding RNA of Phragmites australis (common reed), 1357 nucleotides long. RefSeq lists it as uncharacterized. The record is from RefSeq and is a predicted model, not a curated record. Lineage: Eukaryota; Viridiplantae; Streptophyta; Magnoliopsida; Poales; Poaceae. The transcript has 4 exons.
UCCUCUCCACUCCCCUCCUUUCUCCCAAAUCCCACUGCCCCUCUCGACUCUUCUGAGAACACUGCCCCAUCUCGAUCCCCACCGGCCGCUCCUUGUCGCUCCGCCCGGGCCUGCCCGCCGCUUGGCCGCCCCCUGCUCGUGCCCUCCACGACCCACCCCGGCCGGCCGCCCCUACCCUCUCCUUUCUGCUCUCUUCCAUUGCUUGUUCGAUUCCAUGUCUCACCCACACAGAUCUGUGACCACCUCCGCAUCCGGCCACCUCCCAACGCAGAUCCGUGGGCAACACCUCCUCCGACCACCUAUCUGCACAUAGCCGCGGCUAACUCCACCUCCCUGUGCAGAUCAGACAUCAUCACUUCUCCGAUCUCCUGCCGUUGUAGAUCGGCCGAUGGAAAAGUUCCUUGCUGUGUUGCAGCUCCAUGGCCUCACCAACUUCGGCACUAAGAACAACCGUGGGCUUGUUAUGUCGAUGUAAGAAAAUCUUACACACACUAAUCCAUGUCCUUUAAGAUCCGAUCAGAUCUGUGGUUACAUGCUUUGCUUGAAAAACUUGAAGGAUGACAAACAAGUGCCAACUCGUAUGAGGUGUGCAGUGUCUGCAAUUUCUGAUAUAUAGCUUCUGAUUAUGUGUGCCCUGUGGUUCAAUUAGGUGUGCAAGAAUUAAUGGAGAAAUCUGUAGUAUCUAUUUUUUAAUUUCAGAUCAAGUCUAUAAUUUCCGAUCAUGUGCAAUGUAUGGACAGUACUACUAUUGAGCAGAUUGAAAUGCUCUAGCUGUUCUCAGUGUGGUAGUAAUAUUUGUUGGCUUUUCACCAAGGUCAAUCAAUCAUGAAGAACACACGUGAGAUCACAAACACGCAAGAAAAUGUACAUGCCAGCUAUUGCAUUCAAAUUGUCACUGAAGUUAUAUUUAAUUUGAUAUCAUUGUUAUGGGACUAAAAGUCACUGUAAUUUCAUCUUAUAGAUACCAUGCGUUCUUGCUAGUGGUUGGUAGGAUACACAUCUGCUUAAGAGAGUCUCUCCUAAAAGGAUAUACGAAUGGAUAAGUUGAGGUCUGAAGAUUGCUAGGGCCAUUCGACUUGGAGGCUGACGUAUUAAGACCACUGUGUAGAUGCCAUAACAGUUAAACAAUGGCUGGGUGAAGUACCGAAGGAGGGUAUGCUGCGGCAGAGGAAACAAGCGUGGAGGCGUUCUUCAAAUAUUUGUAUUGAAUAUUUUCCAAACUAUGAUAGGAAUUUAUUUGGUUAAUCAAGUCUGUAAGGCAAUUGUUAAUUGCUGGCGGUAAUUGAUGACAAAGUAGCAACACUGUAUCAUGGCUGUGGAUUUUCGUGCUUGUCCAUAUGAAGCCUAAUUGCCUACA